Molecule: long non-coding RNA, 1324 nt
Filed under: Homo sapiens (human)
Lineage: Eukaryota; Metazoa; Chordata; Mammalia; Primates; Hominidae
Description: non-protein coding NUTM2A-AS1:50
Source: RNAcentral
UGAGGAUACUACAUGACCCAUUACAAGGCACAAAGUAAUUACCAUAGGCAAACCGCUGAUGAGAGCUCACUCCAGUUUGGAAUAUAUUCAUGUUUCCAUAUAAGAGAAAAAUUCAUCCCUGGUUCAGUUCAUCUUGGCAUCAGUACACGGAUGGGAUUCAGAGACAUGUAGGUGUGGAAUACCAGAUUCCACCAAACUUAAAAAGCUGGCAUACUAAGUUGAUAAAACGAUGUAGAGUGUGAAGUUGAGUUGAGAAUGCUUAUGCCAUACAGUUUAUGUAUCUUAUAAUAGCCUUAAUCACACUUCCAGUAAUUUUCCCUAUCAUUGGGUGCUAAAAAAUAAAAUUAAAGAAUUAGAAUAAAAAAUAUAUAUAUACCUCUUUGAGUGGAAGAAUGCUGUCAGCACAUUUUGUAAGACAUAUAUAUAUGUGACCUUUUCCUUUCCUUUUCUAUACCCUGGGGUCAAAGUCUCCUAUAAAAGGACAUUUGCACCAAGUAUUUUCAGCUGGAGUAGGAGGAAUGAUGCUACGAACCAUCCUGUUAUGUGUUUGUACCAUAUCAGUAGUGAAACUGACAGUGCUCUGAUAGGGGUAUACUCUUUUAUCCCAAUCUAUAUCCCAAUACCCAAUAGUAAUAUUGCCUUUAUUUUUUUCCAUGAAAGAGUAAGGUUUGGAAAAACAAGAAAAACACGGUUAAAAUUAUUUCUCUAGUGAAUUGGUUGUGUUUAUAAAUCUUUAGCUUAGCUUGAGUCCCCCUUUGUGAAAUGUAUAAAUCCUUUUGAUACAUUAACAAACACUUGGAAAAUGACUUAAUUGUGUGUGUGUGUGUGUGUGUGUGUGUGUGUGUGUGUGUGUGUGUGGUUAUAUCUCACGUUAUGAGUAUACCGUGUUUGGUUUAUUUAUUCACCCAUUGAUAAACUUUGGGUUGUUUACAGUUUAGUGUUAUUAUAAAUAAGUUUGUCAUGGCCACUGGUACAUUUUCCUCAAAGUGCAUGCUUCUUUUGCUAUGCAAAACUGCAGGAUAUGGAGUGUAUUAAAACACUAAAUCACUUUAUGUGGAAGAUAAAAGGGAUGGUACCCAAUGUACAACUUCAUGUAGUGCACUGAUAUAUUCAAUAUAAAUGAUGUAUUAACUUCAAGAUAACAUGAGAAAGUUAAAUUAUCUAACUUAUUUCAAACUAGGGGAUAGUAUGUUCUCAUUAUUAGAAGCCAGAAUUCUGCUUAUCCAUUAUAGAUAGAUGGUUUUCUAUAUAGACCUAUCUAUCUAUAUAUGCCAUUAUUGUUGUGUAUAAGAGUGCUUAUUCAGAUAUAGCCAGAUGUUUAUAC